This 259-nucleotide ribosomal RNA is filed under the name uncultured Peptoniphilus sp. Its description in RNAcentral is "partial 16S ribosomal RNA". It matches the Rfam family "Bacterial small subunit ribosomal RNA", at positions 99 to 356 of the family's 1533-position model. The record is from RNAcentral. Lineage: Bacteria; Bacillati; Bacillota; Tissierellia; Tissierellales; Peptoniphilaceae.
CGGACGGGUGAGUAACACGUGAGUAACCUGCCUUUACACAGGGAUAGCCUCGGGAAACCGGGAUUAAAACCUGAUGAAACUAAUCAAAUCACAUGAUUAAGAAAGUUAAAACUCCGGUGGUAAAAGAUGGACUCGCGUCCCAUUAGCUAGUUGGUGAAGGUAACGGCCCACCAAGGCAACGAUGGGUAGCCGGCCUGAGAGGGUGAACGGCCACAUUGGAACUGAGAAACGGUCCAAACUCCUACGGGAGGCAGCAGCG